Molecule: long non-coding RNA, 358 nt
Organism: Oncorhynchus tshawytscha (Chinook salmon)
Lineage: Eukaryota; Metazoa; Chordata; Actinopteri; Salmoniformes; Salmonidae
Source: Ensembl
GUAAACAGGAAACAGCACAGACAGAGCUGGGGAUAAAAAUAAACCGAAAGUCUCGUCAUCGCUGCUGGGCUGGUAAACCCACUCACACCCUCUCAAACCAAGGCUCCAUCCCUCUGGAACUUGAUACAGUCCUUUACUUGGAUGCUUUUGGCCCCUCGGAUAACAUUUAUGCUGAUUGAUAGGACGGUACCAAUGAAAUUAGGACCUGAGCCCUAGGACCUGAGCUCCAGGACUACCUGACAUGAUGACUCCUUGCUGUCCCCAGUCCACCUGGCCAUGCUGCUGUUCCAGUUUCAACUGACCUGAGCCCUAGGACCAUGCCCCAGGACUACCUGACAUGAUGACUCCUUGCUGUCCC